This 369-nucleotide ribosomal RNA is filed under the name uncultured organism. Its description in RNAcentral is "partial 16S ribosomal RNA". It matches the Rfam family "Bacterial small subunit ribosomal RNA", at positions 527 to 896 of the family's 1533-position model. The record is from RNAcentral.
GGAGGGUGCAAGCGUUAUCCGGAUUUAUUGGGUUUAAAGGGUACGUAGGCGGCAGAGUCAGUCAGUGGUGAAAGCCAACAGCUUAACUGUUGAACUGCCAUUGAUACUGCUUUGCUUGAGUACAGUCGAGGUAGGCGGAAUUCCACAUGUAGUGGUGAAAUGCAUAGAUAUGUGGAGGAACGCCGAUAACGAAGGUAGCUUACUAGGCUGUUACUGACGCUGAGGUACGAAAGCGUGGGGGAGCGAACGGGAUUAGAGACCCCGGUAGUCCACGCCGUAAACGAUGGUCACUCGAUGUAUACCCCUUGAGGUAUGCGUCCAAGCGAAAGCGUUAAGUGACCCACCUGGGGGAGUACGCUCGCAAGAGUG